RNAcentral lists this ribosomal RNA (305 nucleotides) under uncultured bacterium. RNAcentral's name for it is "partial 16S ribosomal RNA". It matches the Rfam family "Bacterial small subunit ribosomal RNA", at positions 508 to 807 of the family's 1533-position model. The record is from RNAcentral.
ACAGCAGUAGCCGCGGUAAUACGAAGGGUGCAAGCGUUAAUCGGAAUUACUGGGCGUAAAGCGUGCGUAGGCGGUUUGUUAAGUCUGUUGUGAAAUCCCCGGGCUCAACCUGGGAAUGGCAAUGGAUACUGGCAAGCUAGAGUGUGUCAGAGGAUGGUGGAAUUCCCGGUGUAGCGGUGAAAUGCGUAGAGAUCGGGAGGAACAUCAGUGGCGAAGGCGGCCAUCUGGGACAACACUGACGCUGAGGCACGAAAGCGUGGGGAGCAAACAGGAUUAGAUACCCGAGUAGUCCCUGUCUCUUAUAC